GCUUCCGGGUGUGCCCGGCCUUUGUCUCUCGUGCCCGCACGUGCGUGUCUCGGUCAGUAGCCCUGCGCUUCUCCUUCACUCUCGGCGGUUCAGGAGGCUCUGCCGCAGCCGGGGCCCUCCUGUGACCUGCAUGUACUGGGGGAUUCGCAGGGAGGAUGUCGGGACACCCCGGAAGCUGGGAAAUGACUUAUUAACCUUCAUGGCCUCUGGUCUUCUGAGGAAGCAGUCUGAGGAGCCCGAGUUUUGAAAAGGGAAGCAAUCCUCCAAGGCUGCGAUUUCCACAGAAAUCACAUGUGAGCCACAGGUGUCAUUUUAAAAUUUCUAGUAGCAACAGAAACGAGGAAUAAAC
Molecule: long non-coding RNA, 349 nt
Filed under: Homo sapiens (human)
Lineage: Eukaryota; Metazoa; Chordata; Mammalia; Primates; Hominidae
Description: non-protein coding lnc-NLRP3-11:1
Source: RNAcentral